GAGUUUGAUCCUGGCUCAGAACGAACGCUGGCGGCGUGCUUAACACAUGCAAGUCGAACGUGAUCCAGAGCUUGCUCCGGUGAAAGUGGCGCACGGGUGAGUAACGCGUGGAUAAUCUGCCCUGGUAUYUGGGAUAACAUCUCGAAAGGGGUGCUAAUACCGGAUAAGCCUACGGUCUCUUCGGAGUCUGCAGGAAAAGGUGGCCUCUAUUUAUAAGCUACCGUAUCAGGAUGAGUCCGCGUACCAUUAGCUAGUUGGUGGGGUAAUGGCCCACCAAGGCUACGAUGGUUAGCUGGUYUGAGAGGAUGAUCAGCCACACUGGAACUGAGACACGGUCCAGACUCCUACGGGAGGCAGCAGUGGGGAAUUUUGCGCAAUGGGGGAAACCCUGACGCAGCAACGCCGCGUGAGUGAUGAAGGCUUUCGGGUCGUAAAGCUCUGUCAGAGGGGAAGAAAUGGGUCGUGCUAAUAUCACGGCUUCUUGACGGUACCCUCAAAGGAAGCACCGGCUAACUCCGUGCCAGCAGCCGCGGUAAUAC
Molecule: ribosomal RNA, 539 nt
Filed under: uncultured Geobacteraceae bacterium
Lineage: Bacteria; Pseudomonadati; Thermodesulfobacteriota; Desulfuromonadia; Geobacterales; Geobacteraceae
Description: bacterial SSU rRNA
Rfam family: Bacterial small subunit ribosomal RNA
Source: RNAcentral